RNAcentral lists this ribosomal RNA (460 nucleotides) under uncultured bacterium. RNAcentral's name for it is "partial 16S ribosomal RNA". It matches the Rfam family "Bacterial small subunit ribosomal RNA", at positions 338 to 795 of the family's 1533-position model. The record is from RNAcentral.
CCUACGGGUGACAGCAGUGAGGAAUAUUGGUCAAUGGGCGCGAGCCUGAACCAGCCAAGUAGCGUGAAGGAUGACUGCCCUACGGGUUGUAAACUUCUUUUAUAAAGGAAUAAAGUGAGGCACGAGUGCCUUUUUGUAUGUACUUUAUGAAUAAGGAUCGGCUAACUCCGUGCCAGCAGCCGAGGUAAUACGGAGGAUCCGAUCGUUAUCCGGAUUGAUUGGGUUUAAAGGGAGCGUAGAUGGGUUUUUAAGUCAGUUGUGAAAGUUUGCGGCUCAACCGUAAAAUUGCAAUUGAUACUGGCAGCUUUGAGUACAGUUGAGGUAGGCGGAAUUCGUGGUGUAGCGGUGAAAUGCGUAGAUAUCACGAAGAACUCCGAUUGCGAAGGCAGCUUACUAAACUGCCACUGACAUUGAUGCUCGAAAGUGUGGGUAUCAAACAGGAUUAGAUACCCGAGUAGUC